Molecule: non-coding RNA, 878 nt
Organism: Vicugna pacos (alpaca)
Lineage: Eukaryota; Metazoa; Chordata; Mammalia; Artiodactyla; Camelidae
Source: RefSeq, a predicted model, not a curated record
UCCAGGGUCUCCUAGACAAGAGGCGGGACAUUCCGCUCUCCGAUCAGGAGAGCCCCGGGCACUGCCCGGAGGUCCCAAGGGCAGGAAGGACCGCGCGCAGGACGGCACAGCGUCCCAGAGCCGGGCGAGUCCAGGCCCGCGCCCUGCCCCGCCCGCCCGCCAACCCGGGACCCGCCAGGAGCCAGGCAGCGCCCAGCGAAUAGUCCCGGUGCCGCCGAGGGCCGGGAGCCAGUCUCCGCCCCUUCCCUCUCUCCCCGCCCCGCUCUCCCAGCAGGACGCAGCUGCCGGCGUGCGGAGAGCGGCCUGUCGCUACCCCGGCGCGAGGUCUCCGGCUCCCAGCCCUCCCAGGUCGCAUACCUGAGCUAUCUCCAUCCUCGGAGACGGACGAGCUCUCGGUGUCCUCGUCCUCGGAGCUGCUCCCCUCAUUUUCGGCGUAGUCCACCUCCAUCUCAUCGUGAUGAUUCUGCCUCUGAAGGGAAGCAAUUUAAAUUCCAACCACUACCACAUGGUGGAGCUGAGACAUCAGCUGUACAUCUACGGACCUUGUCACGGCUGACUGACCCAGGCCAGAUGCUGGUAGCUGGAAAAAACAAACGCAGGAGACAAGAGGCAGCAACUGAUGGCUAAUACUCAAAUCAGGGUAAGCCCUUUAAUCAUUCAAACUAAAUGUAGGUCUUUAGAGACCUACCGUGACAACUAAAUGAGACCAAUUUAUAAUUAUACAAUUGUAUAAGACCAUGAUUCCAAUUACAUAAGAAUAAAACAAUCUAAAGGUGCUUGAAAUAGUCUGUUCACUGGUAUAGGGCCUAUCCUUGUAUUAAUUGUCUAUUUGUAGAUGUUAGUUCUGGAAUUAAACAAUAAACUUGUUAACAUUCCUA